This 1060-nucleotide small RNA is filed under the name Pan troglodytes (chimpanzee). RNAcentral's name for it is "retained intron". The record is from RNAcentral. Lineage: Eukaryota; Metazoa; Chordata; Mammalia; Primates; Hominidae.
GUCGGUUUCCCGAUUCUGGUCCCCGGCCCCAGCAGCGCCUGCCCCUUCCCACCGGGGCCCCCCAUGAUGCCACCACCCUUCAUGCCCCCUCCAGGGAUCCCCCCACCCUUUCCUCCGAUGGGGCUACCCCCCAUGAGUCAGAGACCACCAGCUAUCCCCCCCAUGCCACCUGGCAUCCUGCCCCCAAUGCUUCCACCAAUGGGGGCGCCACCACCACUCACACAGAUACCAGGAAUGGUACCUCCAAUGAUGCCAGGAAUGCUGAUGCCAGCGGUGCCUGUCACCGCAGCGACGGCUCCGGGUGCGGACACCGCCAGCUCUGCUCUGGCUGGGACAGGCCCUCCGAGGGCCCUAUGGAGUGAGCAUGUGGCCCCAGAUGGGCGCAUCUACUACUACAAUGCUGACGACAAGCAGUCCGUGUGGGAGAAGCCCAGCGUGCUCAAGUCCAAGGCAGAGGUCCUGAGCUGGGCUUUCUGGCCCUUCCUUUCAGCUGCCCUGACCCUUCCAAGUCCUUGGCCUUCCCUUAGUCUCUAACCAUAUUCAUGAUGGUUCCUCUGAUCCCAAGGUCCCUGACCAUUCCUCACCCUCCCUGGAAAUGCCUCCAUAGGAUCUCAAGAAGUCCACCUUCCCCAGUUUGAACCAGGCCAGGUGGUAGCUAAAGGUUCCUGUGUCCUCUACUCACUGGGUCCCCUUAGCUCCCCUGACUGGCUGGAGAACUUGCCCAUCCCACUGAUGGCUCCUAUCCCAUCCACUUGCAGCUGCUCCUGUCCCAAUGUCCCUGGAAAGAGUACAAGUCGGACACAGGCAAACCUUAUUACUAUAACAACCAGAGUAAAGAGUCUCGCUGGACCCGGCCCAAGGAUCUGGAUGACCUAGAGGUUCUAGUCAAACAAGAGGCUGCAGGGUGAGUGACUUGCCCACCUAUCCAUUUGUAGUUGGGGCACCUGCAGUGUGGAAGUAGACUCUGUCGCCAUGAUCUCUACACUGUGGGAGGAAGAGCCAGCUCUGUCUCCUUGUGGAGUCAUCCCCUCUGGCCCCAGUCCUUCCCAGGACAGAGAAA